Non-coding RNA from Symphalangus syndactylus (siamang), 1441 nucleotides. The record is from the annotation of a RefSeq genome assembly. NCBI's taxonomy places the organism in Eukaryota, Metazoa, Chordata, Mammalia, Primates, Hylobatidae.
ACAACCCAGCUCUGCUUUGGAUCUGAUCAGACGGACUAAAUCUUGGGGACUCUGCACCACUGUCCACUGAGGAAAGGGAAUGAGAAUGUUGCCUGGGGCAGGAAAAUAUAGUAAGAAACACUGGUGUGAAUCUAGCAUCAGAAAGAUUAUGUGAAGACAGCAAGGAAGAGGUGGAACCUGAAGUUUAAUCACAGGCUCCUCACCAUCUGCUGAUGGGCAGGUGUGUGAGCUCCAGCAUGGAGCACCACAGCACUGGAUCAGAGAAGGGUAAGAGGGCGAUGGGGCAGCCUGCGAGCUGGGGCAGUGUAGGCAGAGGAGUAACUGUAUCACCACAGAAGCUUCUGCCUUCACCCAUCCCUCCAGCUCUGCAGGACAGGUAGAGUCCAGGGUCCAUGGAGCAUAAGACCUAAGGAAGGCUGCAUGGGGAGGACACAGGACAGUGACAUCACAGAAUAUGCCUCCCAUCAGGAAAAUCAAGGCCCAGAACUCACUGGGCUCUUCCCCAGGAGGACCAAGCCCUGAAUCAGGUGCAGUGCUGCCUGCCCCACUGGGACAUGGGCACCAGGCUCCUUUGCUGGGUGCUGCUUUGUCUCCUGGGAGCAGGCUCAGUGGACACUGGAGUCACCCAAAGUCCCCCACACCUGAUGAAAACGAGAGGACAGCAAGUGACUCUGAGCUGCUCUCCUAUCUCUGUGCAUAGCAGUGUGUCCUGGUACCAACAGGCCCUGGAUCUGGGGCCCCAGUUUAUCUUUCAGUAUUAUGAGGAGGAAGAGGGAGAGAGAGGCAACUUCCCUGAUCGAUUCUCAGGUCGCCAGUUCCCUAACUAUAGCUCUGAGCUGAAUGUGAACGCCUCAUUGCUGGAGGACUCGGCCCUGUAUCUUUGUGCCAGCAGCUUGCACAGCCCAGCAGAAUCAUUGACAUUCUGUAUAUAAACUUCCUGCCUUAGCUUUGCCUUGAGAGCUGCAGGCCCCACCCAGGUUUCACUCCUGCAAGGGAAGCUUUUAGUUGUAUGGAAGGCAUGUCUUGUGUCCUACUGAGCGCAGAGUCUCCCAAAAAACAGAGCCCAGGUUUCCUGUGCCCUGAGUGUGCCCGCUUCUGUGCUGCAUCUUCUUGCAGCUUGUCACUUCCUGGGUAACUUCAGUAGAAGAGUAACUGCUGAGCCCAAGAUGUGUGCUAGAUUUUUGUGUAUGUUACUUAUCUUAAAGGUUUUCCACAAUCUUGCAAAUCAAUCAUUCUUAUUCUUCCUUUACAGAUGGGAGGCUCAGUGACAUUGAGUCAUUUUCCCCAAUGUCUCUUGGCUUGUAAGGAUCAGAAGUAGGAAACAAACUAGUCGAUCCAUUUUCCACCUACCCCCCUGCUCCAUCAUCACCUUCUGCGUCCUGGUCAGUAGGUCAGAGCCCUCACACUGCCCUCUAGUGACCAGCAGGGCCGCAGUAGAGGC